UGGGGAAUAUUGCACAAUGGGCGCAAGCCUGAUGCAGCCAUGCCGCGUGUAUGAAGAAGGCCUUCGGGUUGUAAAGUACUUUCAGCGGGGAGGAAGGGAGUAAAGUUCAUACCUUUGCUCAUUGACGUUACCCGCAGAAGAAGCACCGGCUAACUCCGUGCCAGCAGCCGCGGUAAUACGGAGGGUGCAAGCGUUAAUCGGAAUUACUGGGCGUAAAGCGCACGCAGGCGGUUGAUUGAGUCAGAUGUGAAAUCCCCGGGCUUAACCCGGGAAUUGCAUCUGAUACUGGUCAGCUAGAGUCUUGUAGAGGGGGGUAGAAUUCCAUGUGUAGCGGUGAAAUGCGUAGAGAUGUGGAGGAAUACCGGUGGCGAAGGCGGCCCCCUGGACAAAGACUGACGCUCAGGUGCGAAAGCGUGGGGAGCAAACAGG
This 429-nucleotide ribosomal RNA is filed under the name Chloroflexota bacterium. RNAcentral's name for it is "Chloroflexi bacterium partial 16S ribosomal RNA". It matches the Rfam family "Bacterial small subunit ribosomal RNA", at positions 355 to 776 of the family's 1533-position model. The record is from RNAcentral. Lineage: Bacteria; Bacillati; Chloroflexota.